This 2283-nucleotide ribosomal RNA is filed under the name Escherichia coli. RNAcentral's name for it is "partial 23S ribosomal RNA". It matches the Rfam family "Bacterial large subunit ribosomal RNA", at positions 532 to 2798 of the family's 2925-position model. The record is from RNAcentral. Lineage: Bacteria; Pseudomonadati; Pseudomonadota; Gammaproteobacteria; Enterobacterales; Enterobacteriaceae.
AGGGGAGUGAAAAAGAACCUGAAACCGUGUACGUACAAGCAGUGGGAGCACAGAGCAAUCUGUGUGACUGCGUACCUUUUGUAUAAUGGGUCAGCGACUUAUAUUCUGUAGCAAGGUUAACCGAAUAGGGGAGCCGAAGGGAAACCGAGUCUUAACUGGGCGUUAAGUUGCAGGGUAUAGACCCGAAACCCGGUGAUCUAGCCAUGGGCAGGUUGAAGGUUGGGUAACACUAACUGGAGGACCGAACCGACUAAUGUUGAAAAAUUAGCGGAUGACUUGUGGCUGGGGGUGAAAGGCCAAUCAAACCGGGAGAUAGCUGGUUCUCCCCGAAAGCUAUUUAGGUAGCGCCUCGUGAAUUCAUCUCCGGGGGUAGAGCACUGUUUCGGCAAGGGGGUCAUCCCGACUUACCAACCCGAUGCAAACUGCGAAUACCGGAGAAUGUUAUCACGGGAGACACACGGCGGGUGCUAACGUCCGUCGUGAAGAGGGAAACAACCCAGACCGCCAGCUAAGGUCCCAAAGUCAUGGUUAAGUGGGAAACGAUGUGGGAAGGCCCAGACAGCCAGGAUGUUGGCUUAGAAGCAGCCAUCAUUUAAAGAAAGCGUAAUAGCUCACUGGUCGAGUCGGCCUGCGCGGAAGAUGUAACGGGGCUAAACCAUGCACCGAAGCUGCGGCAGCGACGCUGAUGCGUUGUUGGGUAGGGGAGCGUUCUGUAAGCCUGCGAAGGUGUGCUGUGAGGCAUGCUGGAGGUAUCAGAAGUGCGAAUGCUGACAUAAGUAACGAUAAAGCGGGUGAAAAGCCCGCUCGCCGGAAGACCAAGGGUUCCUGUCCAACGUUAAUCGGGGCAGGGUGAGUCGACCCCUAAGGCGAGGCCGAAAGGCGUAGUCGAUGGGAAACAGGUUAAUAUUCCUGUACUUGGUGUUACUGCGAAGGGGGGACGGAGAAGGCUAUGUUGGCCGGGCGACGGUUGUCCCGGUUUAAGCGUGUAGGCUGGUUUUCCAGGCAAAUCCGGAAAAUCAAGGCUGAGGCGUGAUGACGAGGCACUGCGGUGCUGAAGCAACAAAUGCCCUGCUUCCAGGAAAAGCCUCUAAGCAUCAGGUAACAUCAAAUCGUACCCCAAACCGACACAGGUGGUCAGGUAGAGAAUACCAAGGCGCUUGAGAGAACUCGGGUGAAGGAACUAGGCAAAAUGGUGCCGUAACUUCGGGAGAAGGCACGCUGAUAUGUAGGUGAAGUCCCUCGCGGAUGGAGCUGAAAUCAGUCGAAGAUACCAGCUGGCUGCAACUGUUUAUUAAAAACACAGCACUGUGCAAACACGAAAGUGGACGUAUACGGUGUGACGCCUGCCCGGUGCCGGAAGGUUAAUUGAUGGGGUUAGCGCAAGCGAAGCUCUUGAUCGAAGCCCCGGUAAACGGCGGCCGUAACUAUAACGGUCCUAAGGUAGCGAAAUUCCUUGUCGGGUAAGUUCCGACCUGCACGAAUGGCGUAAUGAUGGCCAGGCUGUCUCCACCCGAGACUCAGUGAAAUUGAACUCGCUGUGAAGAUGCAGUGUACCCGCGGCAAGACGGAAAGACCCCGUGAACCUUUACUAUAGCUUGACACUGAACAUUGAGCCUUGAUGUGUAGGAUAGGUGGGAGGCUUUGAAGUGUGGACGCCAGUCUGCAUGGAGCCGACCUUGAAAUACCACCCUUUAAUGUUUGAUGUUCUAACGUUGACCCGUAAUCCGGGUUGCGGACAGUGUCUGGUGGGUAGUUUGACUGGGGCGGUCUCCUCCUAAAGAGUAACGGAGGAGCACGAAGGUUGGCUAAUCCUGGUCGGACAUCAGGAGGUUAGUGCAAUGGCAUAAGCCAGCUUGACUGCGAGCGUGACGGCGCGAGCAGGUGCGAAAGCAGGUCAUAGUGAUCCGGUGGUUCUGAAUGGAAGGGCCAUCGCUCAACGGAUAAAAGGUACUCCGGGGAUAACAGGCUGAUACCGCCCAAGAGUUCAUAUCGACGGCGGUGUUUGGCACCUCGAUGUCGGCUCAUCACAUCCUGGGGCUGAAGUAGGUCCCAAGGGUAUGGCUGUUCGCCAUUUAAAGUGGUACGCGAGCUGGGUUUAGAACGUCGUGAGACAGUUCGGUCCCUAUCUGCCGUGGGCGCUGGAGAACUGAGGGGGGCUGCUCCUAGUACGAGAGGACCGGAGUGGACGCAUCACUGGUGUUCGGGUUGUCAUGCCAAUGGCACUGCCCGGUAGCUAAAUGCGGAAGAGAUAAGUGCUGAAAGCAUCUAAGCACGAAACUUGCC